Molecule: ribosomal RNA, 468 nt
Filed under: uncultured bacterium
Lineage: Bacteria
Description: partial 16S ribosomal RNA
Rfam family: Bacterial small subunit ribosomal RNA
Source: RNAcentral
GACGAACGCUGGCGGCGUGCUUAACACAUGCAAGUCGAACGGAAAGGCCCUGCUUUCGCGGGGUGCCCGAGUGGCGAACGGGUGAGUAACAUGUGAGUAACCUGCCCUUGACUUUGGGACAUCUUCAGGAAACUGGGGAUAAUACAGGAUACGAGCUCCUGCUGCAGGGUGGGGGUCGGACCGUUUCGGCGGUUGGGGAUGGACUCGCGGCUAAUCAGCUUGUUGGUGGGGUAGUGGCUUACCAAGGCCUCGACGGCUAGCCGGCCUGGGAGGGUGACCGGCCACAUUGGGACUGAGAUACGGCCCAGACUCCUACAGUAGGCAGCGGUGGGGAGUAUUGCACAGUGGUCGGAAGCCUGAGGCGGCGGCGCCGCGUGCGGGAUGACGGCCUUCGGGUUGUAAACCGCUUUCGCCUGUGACGAAGCGUGAGUGACGGUAAUGGGUAAAGAAGCACCGGCUAACUACGUG